This 252-nucleotide ribosomal RNA is filed under the name uncultured bacterium. Its description in RNAcentral is "partial 16S ribosomal RNA". It matches the Rfam family "Bacterial small subunit ribosomal RNA", at positions 524 to 776 of the family's 1533-position model. The record is from RNAcentral.
UACGAAGGGGGCUAGCGUUGCUCGGAAUCACUGGGCGUAAAGCGCACGUAGGCGGCUUUUUAAGUCAGGGUGAAAUCCUGGAGCUCAACUCCAGAACUGCCUUUGAUACUGAGGAUCUUGAGUUCGGGAGAGGUGAGUGGAACUGCGAGUGUAGAGGUGAAAUUCGUAGAUAUUCGCAAGAACACCAGUGGCGAAGGCGGCUCACUGGCCCGAUACUGACGCUGAGGCACGAAAGCGUGGGGAGCAAACAGG